CAAUAGCGUAUAUUAAAGUUGUUGCGGUUAAAAAGCUCGUAGUCGAAUUUUUGUAAAAAUUCAUGUGCUCAUCGCGAGAAACGUGAAAUUUUUACUUCAGUUUUAUUGGUUCGCCGGUAAAACGUUUUACUUUGAGGAAAUUAGAGUGUUUCAAGCAGGUUUACGCCUUGAAUACUUUAGCAUGGAAUAAUAAAGAAGGACUUCGGUUCUCUUAUUGGUCUGUGAACCUUAGUAAUGAUGAAUAGAAACAGUCGGGGGCGUUCAUACUUGGCAGUCAGAGGUGAAAUUCUUGGAUUUGUCAAAGAUGAACUACUGCGAAANCANNNGCCAAGGAUGUUUUCAUNGA
This 346-nucleotide ribosomal RNA is filed under the name uncultured eukaryote. RNAcentral describes it as "partial 18S ribosomal RNA". It matches the Rfam family "Eukaryotic small subunit ribosomal RNA", at positions 592 to 976 of the family's 1831-position model. The record is from RNAcentral.